UUUCUUCGGUCAUUCUCGCGCACACGUAUUAUGCGACUUAAAGGAAGUGGCCUUACAAGAGAGUGAGGGGGGAGAGAGGAGAGUGAUGAUGAAGACGGGGAUUGGGACCUCCAAUUCGCUAUCAGUGGAGCAUGCUAUCGUCAUUGAAAGGGGAAGCUGCAAUGUCAAGCAAAGCAAACACCCUUUCCCUCUGCCAAAUAUCUCUCUACCCCCUCCCACCCACCACUUCAAAUACAAAAAGCAAGAGGAAUCAAGAAAAAAGUGGCAAACCCACAAAUCCCCCUACAUCAUCAUUAUCAAUCAUCGUCAUCAUCCCUUUGAUUUCUUUCUUCAAUCCCACCUACUGCCCACACCCACCACACCUCAUGUCCAAAACUCCCAAAAUUCCACUGGCCUUGGUUGCCAAUUUCACCCAAGAGUUGGGAAUUGCUGAAAACCCAGUUGUGAAUCUAUCCAAAGAUUGAAUCUUGGCAUGGAUUCUUUCAAUCAAGCAACUGGGUUUCGCUACAAUCCCAAUUCAGACACAGAAGGUGAUACCAAAUUCUCUGGGAUUCUUGAAAUCUAUGUUCACCAUGCUAGGAACAUUCACAACAUAUGUAUUUAUGAAAAGCAAGAUGUAUAUGCAAAAUUCGCUCUCACUUAUAACCCAGAUGAGACCCUCUCCACUAGGAUCAUCAACGGUGGCGGCAAAAACCCCGAGUUCAAUGAGAAUCUGGUCGUGAAAAUUGCCCAAAUCGACGCGGUCCUCAAAUGUGAGAUUUGGAUGCUUAGUAGGGUUAAGAAUUAUAUGGAAGAUCAGCUUUUGGGGUUUGCUUUGGUCCCAAUCUCUUCAGUUGUUGGUAAAGGAAAAGUCACCCAAGAUUAUAGCUUAUCUUCCACUGACUUGUUCCAUUCCCCAGCUGGAACUGUCAAAUUGUCCCUUUCUUUGAUCACCAAUGCGUUACUUGAUCCUUCUAUCAAUUCAUUCGCGGAUUCUGUAUCCAAUUCUUCGAUAACUUCUGAGGUUGUUUUGUUGGAUAGGAAGAUUUCAGACGUGGGUUUGGAUCCAGUAGAGUAUUCUAGGCUCGAAUUUCCUGAUAUCAAUGUGGUUAAAGAGAAUCAACAGAUGGUUUCUCAGUAUUUCGAAUUAUCAGGGUCAUUUCUUCAUCUUGGUGUUUCUAAUAAUCCAGUUGAAGACUACGAAAUGGCUGCGAAUUCAUCUGAGGAGAACCGUGGGGAAUCGGUUUCUCCCAAUGGAAGUAUUCAGAAUUCUGGUUUCCUUAGUUCUACUAUGACAAGCUUGAGUGAUGAUAGAAACUCAGCUGAUUCAUUGGAUAAAAAGAAUCAGUUGGUUGGGGAGUUAUUAAACUCCCCAAAUGCAUCGAUCACCACUGAAGCUAAUCGGAGCCCGGCUGCUUGUCCAGAUACUCCGACUUCAAAGAAGGGAAGUGAUGUGAGAGAGGAGAAGGAGGACAGAGUUUCGGACAAGGAAGAGGGCGGAAAGAAAGAAGGUCAUAGGGCUUGUGUCAAAUUUGGUCAAGUUUUUUCUGCUCCACAUGGGAGUAUCAAUAUUGAGGCGGAGCAGUCCGCAAUGCAACAACAAAUAGUUGACAUGUACAUGAGGAGCAUGCAACAGUUCACAGACUCUUUGGCAAAAAUGAAGCUCCCAAUGGAUCUUGAUAAACCAGAAAAUGAAGACGGUGGAGAUCUGAUCCAAAACAAUGAUGACAGUGUGGAUGUUGAGAAGAAGAAAAAAGAUGGUUCAAGGGUGUUUUACGGUAGCCGGGCUUUCUUCUGACUGGUUGGUAUGCAGAUUAAAUGCAGUGCUGUCACACAACUUUCUCUGGGAAAAAGAAAUAUCGUUUGUACAACUUGUAUUACAGAUUGGAGUAUUAUCAGUAUCUGGAUAUCAAUCUCUAAGUUCUUGUGUCCAAUUUAUGUCAUCUGAGAUGAUUUUUUGGCACCAUAUAAAGUACAGGACAUAUCUGGAUUAAAUCUCUGAGGAUUGUGUUUGUCUUGGCUCCACAAAUGGUAACAUAAGACUUCAUUCUUUCAGUCUUGUUUAACUCCUUUUUCGGUGAUUAAGAGCAUAGUUCCUUUGGAUUGUCAACUGUUCUGUUGAUCUCAUAACUAAGUACUUGCUCCUCUGUGAAGGUGUUUUAGUUUUAUUGCUUUUGUCAAGUUGUUCUGUAGUGUAAGAUCACUGUUUGGAUUGUUGGUAGUGCUUGUUUUAAACUGUGCAAAAUGUUGUUACUGUG
Molecule: RNA transcript, 2237 nt
Organism: Rhododendron vialii
Lineage: Eukaryota; Viridiplantae; Streptophyta; Magnoliopsida; Ericales; Ericaceae
Exons: 3
Source: RefSeq, a predicted model, not a curated record